CUCCCCCCGUCCGGGGAGAGGGGUCCGAGCUCGGCCCCUUAGCCCGGACCCCGCGCUUACACCCCGGAAGGGUUAAUGGCGAGGAGUCGGGGUGGAGGAGGGAUGCUGACGGCUAGAGAUGAGGAAGUGAGAGUGUUUCAUUCCGAAGAAAUGCUGGUUCAAGUGGAGUGUAAAGGGAACCCGAAAUGGCUCCGAAUACCAGUGAAAAAUGACUGUUUUGACUUCUGUGAAUUCAUUAAAGAAGCUUCAGCAAAGUUCAACUUGCCGCAUGGAGCCAAUGUGGUUCUUAAAGACUCUGCAGGAGUUGAUGUUGAUGCUGAUAUUUUUGAUGAGCUUGUGAGAACAUCUAAGGUGUCCUUCAAAAUUUUGGAUUGUGAUACAGCAGAUAAUGUUCCACAAGCUGAGACCGAUUUCUCUGAGCCGUCAUGCCCCGAGUCGUCAUUUUCAUCAGUAGAAUCGGAAAGUUAAGAUUCCACAGUGAUUCCGCGAUCUUCAAAGGCACGCAAAAAGCGAUUCUUAGAAGAACCUUCUGACUGCAAUGUAUCAAAAGAUCUAGUUCAUGCAGCGCUGCACUCAAAACCAGGAGGCUGAUAUAUUGAAGGAGUACGAACAAACAGAGUCUGUCUGACAAGACACGAAGGAAGCUGGUAAACAUCCUUGUGGCUGAUAUGGGAGAGAAGUAUGGGAGGAUUCCACCAGUCAGUAUCCGUGUAAGCUAUGCUCUUGGAAUCAUUACUCUGUUCCUCAAUUUGAAGGAUAAGUCUCACCGACUGGUUAUGAACAGUUCUACGAUCCACGCAGUGGCCAGGGUUACAUUGCCUACAGACUGAAAACUGUUCAGCGCAACUCUGUAAAUAACUUGAGGGGGGCAUCAAAGGUGGUUUACCAAGAUGGUCCUAAGACUUUGCGUGAGACCUCUUCAACAACUGAGCAGCUGUCAGGUGAUGAAUGCACAGAAGCUGUAUCCAUGAUGAAGCAUUCAACGGACGCACCAGUUAUUAAGGAUAAAAUGAAGACAACAUUCAAGUACAGGCAGAAUUUGAUACAUGAUCCAGACAAAUCUUCACUCAUCCUUGAUUACUUUCCCCGAUUUUUGGAUACACCAGGCUUGAUUGACCAAGACUUUACUAUGCUUUUUGGAGAGGACAUUU
Long non-coding RNA from Labeo rohita (rohu), 1151 nucleotides. RefSeq lists it as uncharacterized. The record is from RefSeq and is a predicted model, not a curated record. NCBI's taxonomy places the organism in Eukaryota, Metazoa, Chordata, Actinopteri, Cypriniformes, Cyprinidae. The transcript is spliced from 8 exons.